Non-coding RNA from Podarcis muralis (Common wall lizard), 1986 nucleotides. The record is from RefSeq and is a predicted model, not a curated record. NCBI's taxonomy places the organism in Eukaryota, Metazoa, Chordata, Lepidosauria, Squamata, Lacertidae.
GCAGCCAGGCGCGCGCCCCCCACCCUCCUUGCGGCUGCCUCAGGUGUGGGGCUGAAUGGGAGCGCUGUCUCUGUCAGCAGGGAGUGUAGGAAAACCUACAUUCGUGGUUAAGUUAUUUGAUUACAUUCAACACAAUUGAACAUUAUGGGUCGGAGAAAUGGUAGGGAGUAGAAACAUUUCACCUCUUCCCAUGGACUGUUUCCCCUGCUCCGUACUGCCUCCCCAAUCAGCUUGCCCUGUGGAAAGCCAGAAAGCCACCUAGCAACAACUUGGACCUGGGAAAUAUCAGGGUACUUUCUGCUAUGAUUUCUCCGAAUGUUCUACAAGUUCAAUCAAAAUCUGCUUAUAUUUUGACCACUCAACUAGUAAUGUGUUGUCCAUGUCAUCAUCAUGAGCUGCAACUUGAAAACCAGGAGGAAACAGUCCUCACAGAGGUGCAAGCAGGGCACCAACAGCACAAUCUUAACCAUGGCUGCUCAUAAUUAAGUCUACUGAGUUCAGUGCAGCUAACUCCUAGGUAAAUGGAGUUAGGAUUGCGCCAUCAUAGACUCCGCUGCCUCCAGCUACAAGAAGCGCUUCCUUUCAUGGCAUUCAUAGAAACAUAGGAUACACCCACACAAUAGAAUUAAAUCUUAUACAAAUUUUAGCCAUCAUGGAGAAUCCUGUUAAGGGAGUUGGGAACUGUAAGUUUGUGAGGUCAGCAUCCUUAGCAAAUUACAUUUCCCAGGAUUCUUUGGGGGAAAGCAAUGACUGUUAGUUGUAUAGGAGUGCCUGAAAUGUACGGUGCAAAUGUGACCACAGGAGGCUGCCUUAUAGUGCGUUUGACCAUGGGUGCUUCUAGCUUAGUAAUAGGUACUCAUUGACUGGCAGAGGCUCUCCAGGUUUUCAGAUGGAUCUCUCUCAGCUCUUAUUGAAUAUGUCAGGGAGUAAACAUGGAACCUUCUGCAAGCAAAAUAGAUGCUCUUCCACUGAGCUGUGGCUCUUCACUGGGGCUCAUCCACAGUUGCUAUGGUUUUUACUCCCCACUAUUUCCCUGACAGUGAGAAAAUGUAGAUCCCAUGAGAUAAAGAGAGCCUAGGAGCCACAUCACACAAAGAUGUUAAUAUUUGUCAAAGUACAUAUCAUCAGUGUUCCCUAGUGAACGUCCUUAUAUAAUACCCACAUCUACUCAGAGUGCACAUUUGCCUCACUAUUUGCAAACAUAUGUUUGCCUUGUUAAUGUGGUACACUUUACAUGUAAAUAUUAUUUCCACAAUCCAGAAUUAAGCAUGCUUAUUCACUGGUAAGCCAUUGAAUGGGCUGGGCACACUUGCAUUUUUGUUGGGCUGCGAUCAGUGUGUGCAGCUCUAAGUUUCCUUCUCUCUCCACAAGGAAGGGGCAAGGAAGUUGAGCCGAAUACAACUGAAAAUAAAAUAUCAGCAUUACCAAAAUUCUCCAAAUUAUCUCUAGAUUACAGGCCAACAUUUCACUGACACAUCUUUAAGUGUCCAUAGGAAAGUCAUGGGAGUUGUCUGCUGAGUAAUUUGAUAUUGACUACUGAGUGCAAACAGACAAAUUAAGUGUAGGGAAGGAGUGACAAUCAAGUUCCCAUUGGGCCUUUCCUCUUUAUGGUUUGGGUUUCCAAGCCAGCCUGGGAGUCGUUCCCAUCCAUAUGUGAACAGGCAACUCUCAGGGAGAAAGAGUCAAAGAAAGAAGGGCUAGAACAGUAUUCCUCCUUUGAUCCAUACUCUGCUUUAAUAAAGAAGCUUUGUUUGCACAUCCCACUCACAUCUUUCUUCAAAAGGGCGGUAAAGAAUCUGACACUACCUCAAAACAGAAGCCUGUUAUGUGAACAAAGUGGGAUCUUCCCUGUUACAUUUCUUCUUUAUGUGUGCUUGCUAUAAACUAGUAGAACCCACAUGCUGUUCACUGAACUAUAAUGGCGGGUCUCUGGCCUUCCAUUCCAAUAAAUAAAGGAGGCAAUAAGGCUUCUAUUGAAAGCAUCAC